This 259-nucleotide unclassified non-coding RNA is filed under the name fungal sp. Its description in RNAcentral is "partial internal transcribed spacer region". The stretch from base 1 to 46 matches the Rfam family "Eukaryotic small subunit ribosomal RNA", at positions 1786 to 1831 of the family's 1831-position model. The record is from RNAcentral. Lineage: Eukaryota; Fungi.
AAGUCGUAACAAGGUUUCCGUAGGUGAACCUGCGGAAGGAUCAUUAGAAGGUUAUGCCGAAACCGUCCUCGCGGCGGCCGGCAGCCCUCCCAUCAUUCACCUUGUGCACGUAUCGAAAUCAUGCUUUGGCAGACUCUUUGGGCAAUUUUUUUGUUUUGGAGGGUCUGCCAGAGGAAAUUUCUAAUCAUGCCAUGACUUUGCCUGAUCUUUAUACGAAUAAUAAAUGAAACAACUUUCAACAACGGAUCUCUUGGCUCUC